RNAcentral lists this ribosomal RNA (484 nucleotides) under uncultured bacterium. Its description in RNAcentral is "partial 16S ribosomal RNA". It matches the Rfam family "Bacterial small subunit ribosomal RNA", at positions 30 to 507 of the family's 1533-position model. The record is from RNAcentral.
AUUGAACGCUGGCGGCAGGCCUAACACAUGCAAGUCGAGCGGAUGAAGGGAGCUUGCUCCUGGAUUCAGCGGCGGACGGGUGAGUAAUGCCUAGGAAUCUGCCUGGUAGUGGGGGAUAACGUCCGGAAACGGGCGCUAAUACCGCAUACGUCCUGAGGGAGAAAGUGGGGGAGCUUCGGACCUCACGCUAUCAGAUGAGCCUAGGUCGGAGUAGCUAGUUGGUGGGGUAGAGGCCUACCAAGGCGACGAUCCGUAACUGGUCUGAGAGGAUGGUCAGUCACACUGGAGCUGAGACACGGUCCAGGCUCCUACGGGAGGCAGCAGUGGGGAAUAUUGGACAAUGGGCGAAAGCCUGGUCCAGCCAUGCCGCGUGUGUGAAGACGGUCUUCGGAUUGUAAAGCACUUUAAGUUGGGAGGAAGGGCAGUAAGUUAAUACCUUGCUGUUUUGACGUUACCAACAGAAUAAGCACCGGCUAACUUCGUG